UUGCAGCUACUUAAGCUGACUAAGUCCCUUUCCUCACAGAGGCUUAGAGAGCGAAGGCCUCAAAUAGUGGCCUCCAAGGGAGCGAAUACAGCCUGUUGCCUAGACAGGUUGCCUGAGAUAACUUAUAGACAAUU
Mastomys coucha (southern multimammate mouse) is the source of this 134-nucleotide small nucleolar RNA. RefSeq annotates it as small nucleolar RNA SNORA70. The transcript has a single exon. Lineage: Eukaryota; Metazoa; Chordata; Mammalia; Rodentia; Muridae. The record is from RefSeq and is a predicted model, not a curated record.